GAUGAACGCUGGCGGCGUGCCUAAUACAUGCAAGUCGAGCGAACGGACGAGAAGCUUGCUUCUCUGAUGUUAGCGGCGGACGGGUGAGUAACACGUGGAGAACCUACCUAUAAGACUGGGAUAACUUCGGGAAACCGGAGCUAAUACCGGAUAAUAUUUUGAACCGCAUGGUUCAAAAGUAAAAGACGGUCUUGCUGUCACUUAUAGAUGGAUCCGCGCUGCAUUAGCUAGUUGGUAAGGUAACGGCUUACCAAGGCAACGAUGCAUAGCCGACCUUAGAGAUUGAUCGGCCACGCUAGAAGUGAGACACGGUCCAGACUCCUACGAGAGGCAGCAGUAUGGAAUCUUCCGCAAUGUGCGGAAACCUGACGGAGCAACGCCGCGUGAGUGAUGAAGGUCUUCGGAUCGUAAUACUCUGUUAUUAGGGAAGAACAUAUGUGUAAGUAACUGUACACAUCUUGACGGUACCUAAUCAGAAAGCCACGGCUAACUACGUG
This 497-nucleotide ribosomal RNA is filed under the name uncultured bacterium. RNAcentral's name for it is "partial 16S ribosomal RNA". It matches the Rfam family "Bacterial small subunit ribosomal RNA", at positions 28 to 507 of the family's 1533-position model. The record is from RNAcentral.